GAUGAAGAACGUAGCGAAAUGCGAUAAGUAAUGUGAAUUGCAGAAUUCAGUGAAUCAUCGAAUCUUUGAACGCACAUUGCGCCCGCCAGUAUUCUGGCGGGCAUGCCUGUUCGAGCGUCAUUACAACCCUCAGGCCCCCGGGCCUGGCGUUGGGGAUCGGCGGAAGCCCCCUGCGGGCACAACGCCGUCCCCCAAAUACAGUGGCGGUCCCGCCGCAGCUUCCAUUGCGUAGUAGCUAACACCUCGCAACUGGAGAGCGGCGCGGCCACGCCGUAAAACACCCAACUUCUGAAUGUUGACCUCGAAUCAGGUAGGAAUACCCACUGAACUUAAGCAUAUCAAAAGCGGAGGA
This 352-nucleotide unclassified non-coding RNA is filed under the name soil metagenome. Its description in RNAcentral is "partial contains 5.8S ribosomal RNA, internal transcribed spacer 2, and large subunit ribosomal RNA". The stretch from base 1 to 120 matches the Rfam family "5.8S ribosomal RNA", at positions 35 to 154 of the family's 154-position model. The record is from RNAcentral.